CCGACCUUAGCUCAGUUGGUAGAGCGGAGGACUGUAGUUGGGAAAUGCAACAGAUAUCCUUAGGUCGCUGGUUCGAAUCCGGCAGGUCGGA
This 91-nucleotide transfer RNA is filed under the name Morus notabilis. It matches the Rfam family "tRNA". Rfam says of the family: Transfer RNA (tRNA) molecules are approximately 80 nucleotides in length. The record is from Rfam by way of RNAcentral. Lineage: Eukaryota; Viridiplantae; Streptophyta; Magnoliopsida; Rosales; Moraceae.